GUACGGGAGGCAGCAGUAGGGAAUCUUCCGCAAUGGACGAAAGUCUGACGGAGCAACGCCGCGUGAGUGAUGAAGGCUUUCGGGUCGUAAAACUCUGUUGUUAGGGAAGAACAAGUGCUAGUUGAAUAAGCUGGCACCUUGACGGUACCUAACCAGAAAGCCACGGCUAACUACGUGCCAGCAGCCGCGGUAAUACGUAGGUGGCAAGCGUUAUCCGGAAUUAUUGGGCGUAAAGCGCGCGCAGGUGGUUUCUUAAGUCUGAUGUGAAAGCCCACGGCUCAACCGUGGAGGGUCAUUGGAAACUGGGAGACUUGAGUGCAGAAGAGGAAAGUGGAAUUCCAUGUGUAGCGGUGAAAUGCGUAGAGAUAUGGAGGAACACCAGUGGCGAAGGCGACUUUCUGGUCUGUAACUGACACUGAGGCGCGAAAGCGUGGGGAGCAAACAGGAUUAGAUACCCCGGUAGU
RNAcentral lists this ribosomal RNA (464 nucleotides) under uncultured bacterium. RNAcentral describes it as "bacterial SSU rRNA". It matches the Rfam family "Bacterial small subunit ribosomal RNA", at positions 339 to 794 of the family's 1533-position model. The record is from RNAcentral.